Callithrix jacchus (white-tufted-ear marmoset) is the source of this 301-nucleotide unclassified non-coding RNA. It matches the Rfam family "Metazoan signal recognition particle RNA". From Rfam's summary of the family: The signal recognition particle (SRP) is a universally conserved ribonucleoprotein. The record is from Ensembl. Lineage: Eukaryota; Metazoa; Chordata; Mammalia; Primates; Cebidae.
GCCAGGUGCGGUGGCGUGUACCUGUAGUCCCAGCUACCCAGAAGGCUGAGGUGGGAGGAUCACUUGAGCCUAGGAGUUCUGGGCUGUAGGGCACUAUGCCAAUCGGGUGUCCGCACUAAGUUCGGCAUCAAUAUGGUAACCUCCCGGGAGCGGGGGACCACCAGGUUGCCUAAGGAGGGGUGAAUCGACCCAGGUCAGAAAUGGAACAGGUCAAAAACUCCCAUGCUAAUCAGUAGUGGGAUCGCGCCUGUGAAUAGCCAUUGCACUCCAGCCUGGGCAACACAGCGAGACCCCACCUCUU